Molecule: unclassified non-coding RNA, 337 nt
Filed under: soil metagenome
Description: partial contains 5.8S ribosomal RNA, internal transcribed spacer 2, and large subunit ribosomal RNA
Rfam family: 5.8S ribosomal RNA (bases 1-120)
Source: RNAcentral
GAUGAAGAACGUAGAGAAAUGCGAUAAGUAAUGUGAAUUGCAGAAUUCCGUGAAUCAUCGAAUCUUUGAACGCACAUUGCGCCCCCUGGCAUUCCGGGGGGCAUGCCUGUCCGAGCGUCAUUUCUGCCCUCAAGCACGGCUUGUGUGUUGGGUGUGGUCCCCCCGGGGACCUGCCCGAAAGGCAGCGGCGACGUCCGUCUGGUCCUCGAGCGUAUGGGGCUCUGUCACUCGCUCGGGAAGGACCUGCGGGGGUUGGUCACCACUAUAUUUUACCACGGUUGACCUCGGAUCAGGUAGGAGUUACCCGCUGAACUUAAGCAUAUCAAUAAGCGGAGGA